AUUAUUGGAGCCCAGGAAGCACAGUCACUCAUCUGGGUCUGUGGGAGAUGGUGGUAGGGAGGAGGGGCUGCCUCUGGGUCAGAGAGAGGAGCAACACCCUGGAGUCUCCUCUCUUCCUGCCUCCAGGCUCCUCCCAGCGCUAUCCAUUGGCUCGACCCAACCUAAAGUCCAUCUCCCAGCAAGAAGUCUGCAAAAGGUGGUUUGCAAGAAUCAACACCCUGUGAUUCACAGCGCAGUAGAGGAGGAACAGGGGCUGGAUGAGGGAAAAGAGCAACUCACCAGCACACAGAGGGUUCCUGUGAACACCUCGGUUGAGAUUACAUCCUGAACUACCACACAGUAUACAAUCAGUGAAUGAUAUGCGCCCAGGAGUGGGAUUGCUGGAUCAUAUGGAGAUGCAAGAGAUGUGGGUUCAAUCCCUGGCUCAAGAGGAUCCCCUGAAGGAGAACAUGGCAACCCACUGCAGUAUUCUUGCCUGGAGAAUCCCCAUGGACAGAGGAGCUUGGCAGGCUACAGUCCACAGGGUCGCAGAGAGUCGGACAUGACUGAAGCAACUUAGCAGGCACUCAUGCAAGUACUUGCUGCUAUAUUGAUAAUGGAUAAUCAACAAGGACUUACUUUAUUGCACAGGGAAUUCCGCUCAUUGUUAUGUAUCAGGCUGGAUGGGAGGGGAGUUUGGGGGAGAAUGGAUCCAUUUAUAUGUAUGGCUGAGUCACUUUGCUGUCCAUCUGAAACUAUUGCAGCGUUUUUCAUCAGCUACACUCCAAUAUAAAAUAAAGUGUUUAAAAAAUAAAAAAAUGGGAGGUGGGAGAGGGGUUCAGGAUGGGGAACACAUGUACACCCAUGGCAGAUUCAUGUCAAUGUAUGGCAAAACCAAUACAAUAUUGUAAAGUAAUUAGCCUCCAAUUUAAAUAAAUUUAUAUUAAAAUAUGACAUAUAUUUUAUUUAUAUAUAAGCUUAUACAUAUUUUACAAUGAAAUAUAUUAAUUCCAUAACAAAAAGGUUAAAAUAUUCGUUAUGAUUAGAAUAGAUAUCAAUCUUUGUUAGAAACAUUUAAGAAGCAUGCAAACUGGCAUCUGUCUGGGGUGAUGGCUGUCCCACCUGCCUAGGGAAGACCUCCAAAGCUUUC
Long non-coding RNA from Bos taurus (domestic cattle), 1129 nucleotides. Lineage: Eukaryota; Metazoa; Chordata; Mammalia; Artiodactyla; Bovidae. The record is from Ensembl.